This 72-nucleotide transfer RNA is filed under the name Camelus bactrianus (Bactrian camel). It matches the Rfam family "tRNA". Rfam says of the family: Transfer RNA (tRNA) molecules are approximately 80 nucleotides in length. Their secondary structure includes four short double-helical elements and three loops (D, anti-codon, and T loops). Further hydrogen bonds mediate the characteristic L-shaped molecular structure. tRNAs have two regions of fundamental functional importance: the anti-codon, which is responsible for specific mRNA codon recognition, and the 3' end, to which the tRNAs corresponding amino acid is attached (by aminoacyl-tRNA synthetases). tRNAs cope with the degeneracy of the genetic code in two manners: having more than one tRNA (with a specific anti-codon) for a particular amino acid; and 'wobble' base-pairing, i.e. permitting non-standard base-pairing at the 3rd anti-codon position. Lineage: Eukaryota; Metazoa; Chordata; Mammalia; Artiodactyla; Camelidae. The record is from Rfam by way of RNAcentral. RNAcentral also lists the same sequence under 2 other names.
GAGGGGAUAGCUCAGGCAUAGAGUGUGUGCUUAGCAUGCAUGAGGUCCUGGGUUCAAUCCCCAGUACCUUCA